Molecule: unclassified non-coding RNA, 353 nt
Filed under: soil metagenome
Description: partial contains 5.8S ribosomal RNA, internal transcribed spacer 2, and large subunit ribosomal RNA
Rfam family: 5.8S ribosomal RNA (bases 1-120)
Source: RNAcentral
GAUUAAGAACGUAGUGAAAUGCGAUAAGUAAUGUGAAUUGCAGAAUUCAGUGAAUCAUCGAAUCUUUGAACGCACAUUGCGCCCGCCAGUAUUCUGGCGGGCAUGCCUGUUCGAGCGUCAUUACAACCCUCAGGCCCCCGGGCCUGGCGUUGGGGAUCGGCGGAAGCCCCCUGCGGGCACAACGCCGUCCCCCAAAUACAGUGGCGGUCCCGCCGCAGCUUCCAUUGCGUAGUAGCUAACACCUCGCAACUGGAGAGCGGCGCGGCCACGCCGUAAAACACCCAACUUCUGAAUGUUGACCUCGAAUCAGGUAGGAAUACCCGCUGAACUUAAGCAUAUCAAUAAGCGGAGGA